CGCCUUUGUAAAGUUGUCCGCAAUGCUUAUAUUGAUUUUGCCGCCUCGGCGGCUACGGCGAUAAACGGCUUCGAAAUAAGCUCUUCGGACCCGGGGGCGGUACCCGGCGCCUCCACCAAAGCCCGCUUAGCGGCGAAGCGGGUUUCGGCGGGGGCGAAAUAGGUUCGACGGGGAGUGUAAAGGAUGUCCUUUCGCUCGGCAUGGUUCCGCCGUCAUCGGGCCGAUCUUAUAGUUGCCAAUGACAACUAUGCUCCGGUGGCCGUUGCCGCGUAAUGCGGUAAUAGUACCGAAAUUGAAGCCCUUGGGGGUUGCACUCUAAGGCGGGGUUCGGAGGCACCUGGCAACAGAAGCCUCCACU
This 358-nucleotide transfer-messenger RNA is filed under the name Methylocapsa palsarum. Its description in RNAcentral is "Alphaproteobacteria transfer-messenger RNA". It matches the Rfam family "Alphaproteobacteria transfer-messenger RNA". Rfam says of the family: Bacterial tmRNA, also known as 10Sa RNA or SsrA, is named for its dual tRNA and mRNA-like properties. Its role is to liberate the mRNA from a stalled ribosome. To accomplish this part of the tmRNA is used as a reading frame that ends in a translation stop signal. Lineage: Bacteria; Pseudomonadati; Pseudomonadota; Alphaproteobacteria; Hyphomicrobiales; Beijerinckiaceae. The record is from Rfam by way of RNAcentral.